GCCGAAGUGGUGAAAUUGGCAAACACGCUGCGUUCAGGGCGCAGUGGGCUUACGCCCUUGGGGGUUCGAGUCCCCCCUUCGGCA
This 84-nucleotide transfer RNA is filed under the name bacterium. RNAcentral's name for it is "tRNA-Leu". It matches the Rfam family "tRNA". From Rfam's summary of the family: Transfer RNA (tRNA) molecules are approximately 80 nucleotides in length. The record is from RNAcentral.